This 460-nucleotide ribosomal RNA is filed under the name uncultured bacterium. Its description in RNAcentral is "partial 16S ribosomal RNA". It matches the Rfam family "Bacterial small subunit ribosomal RNA", at positions 338 to 795 of the family's 1533-position model. The record is from RNAcentral.
CCUACGGGUGGCAGCAGUGAGGAAUAUUGGUCAAUGGCCGUAAGGCUGAACCAGCCAAGCAGCGUGAGGGAAGACUGCCCUAUGGGUUGUAAACCUCUUUUAUGCGGGGAUAAAGGUGUCCACGCGUGGCUGUUUGCAGGUACCGCAUGAAUAAGGACCGGCUAAUUCCGUGCCAGCAGCCGCGGUAAUACGGAAGGUCCGGGCGUUAUCCGGAUUUAUUGGGUUUAAAGGGAGCGUAGGCGGGUCUUUAAGCGUGCCGUGAAAUUUUGUGGCUCAACCAUGGGAGUGCGGCGCGAACUGGAGACCUAGAGUGCGCGUAAGGCAGGCGGAAUGCGUGGUGUAGCGGUGAAAUGCUUAGAGAUCACGAAGAACCCCGAUUGCGAAGGCAGCCUGCCGCGGCAUUACUGACGCUGAAGCACGAAAGCGCGGGUAUCGAACAGGAUUAGAUACCCGAGUAGUC